CACUUCGAUCACUCCAUUAACCAUUUCCUCGAGAAAAGUAGUGGAUAGGGGGCGCUGAAUUAUUCGAGUUAGUACAUGGAGGAAAGGUCUGUUUCAAAUGUUAUUCAAAGAUUAGGAGCGACGAUUCAAUGUCCGUUUGUGUAUUGUAUUUGUCGUGGUUGAAACGGCACCAGGAACAUAUCAGGAUAGACAACAGAAGUCUGUAAGUAUCUAUUUUAUGUAUUUAUAUAUUAACAUAGAUAUUAUAAGCCUUUCAUGCCUUCUGUUGACAAAUUUUCAUAACUAUGCACUGUUUUAGUAGACCACAGAUGUCCUUUUCGAACUAAAAGAACCUCCCUUUGAAAAAACACACCUCAGUCGAAUCUUUCUUCUCAAAUGAAUGCCUGAAUGGUCAUCAAAUUAAUACUUGUUAUGGGCAGGCAUUUUCGAAUAAUUUUUAAAAAAAAAAUGUAUUAAUUCUGACUGCAAGGAAUUUUAAAUGGUAAAUAAUAUACAUUGUAUCUCGAGGGAAAUGUACACACUUUAAACAACAGUAAAUUUUUCAUAAAUAUUAUAUAAAAUAGUAAAAGUGUAGCAUAUAUAUCAUAUCAUGUGUAUUAACGAUUAAACUCUGGAAGAAAUAUAGUCCAGCAUGAAUACAAAUUAAAGGGUCCUUUUCAGGAAAAAAAUUUUUCUCUUUCUUCAGAGGUUUAUAUGAAACGUUAUAUGAUGUCUGUUGUGCAGUGAUUUGGUUUUUUUCGCCUGUAUGCGAGACAUGGCAUGGUAGGUAUUGCAACCAAGCAACGGCGGCGACGAUGGUGUACACUAUUUGUUUGAAGCAUUAUAUUUUAUAAGUUAGACAAUCUAAAUGCUUCAUACCUUAUGUUACGAAAUUUCCGUCUGUCAUAUGUCAUUGUCCCGGCAACCUCAUUUUCAUGGUUCAGUAACUGCUUGAUACAUUUUGUUUUGUUAAAUGAAAAAACUCACUUAUUAUGAGUAAUAUGAUAACUUUGUUUGGUAUAUGGGUUCCUAGCAACAUUUACAUGUUCGUCAGCUAGGUACAUGUAGGGUUAACCUGACCUCGACCUUAUUCCAUGGAUCAGUUAUCAAAAAUAAAGUAACUUAAGCAAGACCGUAUCUAGAUACUAUAACUAGUAAGUCAUCUAUAUUUGGUGUAUGGAUUAUUGAAAUGAUUGUAAGGUGUACAUAUCCACCCGACAGGUUCCGUCUGACCUUGGCCUCAAUUUCAUGGUUCAUUGGCCAAUGUAUAUAGUGUUUUUGUGGUUUGGUCUAUUUCUCAGAUACUUUAAGCAGUAGGACCACUAUAUAGGGUGUAUCAUGUAUGGAAUCAUUGUCAGCUGGAAAUGUCCGUCUGACAGGUCUCAAUUGACUUCGACUUCAUUUUUAUGGUUCAUUGGACAAUUUUUAGUUGUGUCAUACAUUGUAGUUGUGCAUUGAUAAAGUUAAGUAUACCUGAUAAUUGUACUAAAGACUUUCAAUAUGAUUUCAAUGAUAAGUAAGACAAAGGCGAGACAUUUGCACUCAUAUUUUGGUAAUAAAAUGUGUAAAGUGUUGACUAAAGUACAUGUACCUAAAUUUCAAUAUAUUUUUGUAUCAGAGUGCUGAACGCGCAUCUUUAACGUUUUGAGAGGAAAAUGAAUAUUUUGUUGAAGGGAGAAUGUGUUGGGUACAUUACUCACAUUUUUUUACCUGAGGAAGCUGCUGUUCCUUUUGGAACAUGUCUUACUUGUUUUCUGGUAUGUUAAAUGGGAUAGGUAAAAGUAUUGUUAAACACCAGUCCUGUGUUUUGUUUAAGACUUAAUGAAACCUGAUUUUAAUUGUUAUUUGUGUAUUCAGUUCGCUGUCUCCUAGGCAUGAACCACUCAUCUGUUUUAAGACUCUAUGAUUGAUUGAUUGAUUGAUUGAUCAUGACUGGCUGAAUGUCCAAUGGCAAAUAUUACAUGCAUAUUCAGGAAGUUGGGAAUGAUACAUGCCAAUCCUGAUAAAAAUAAAGAAAUAUGCCUGAAGAAAAAACAAUAACAGAGUAAGUGUUCCUGCAUUUUAAACUUCAAAUAUUUCUUGUAGAGUGAGAAAACUGUUAUGAAACACCAGCAAAAAAGACUAGAUUGUUAUUCAGUCCUGACUUAUUCAGUGUCUCUGAAUAUGAAGAUUAG
This 2153-nucleotide long non-coding RNA is filed under the name Mytilus galloprovincialis (Mediterranean mussel). The record is from RNAcentral. Lineage: Eukaryota; Metazoa; Mollusca; Bivalvia; Mytilida; Mytilidae.